Molecule: ribosomal RNA, 718 nt
Filed under: uncultured bacterium
Lineage: Bacteria
Description: partial 16S ribosomal RNA
Rfam family: Bacterial small subunit ribosomal RNA
Source: RNAcentral
ACUGCAGUCGUGGGGCAGCAGGKUUGUAGCAAUACAGAUGCUGGCGACCGGCAAACGGGUGCGUAACACGUACGCAACCUUCCCGUUACUGKGGAAUAGCCCAGGGAAACUUGGAUUAAUACCMCAUAUUAUAUUGAUSAGGCAUCUSGUUAAUAUCAAAGCUUCGGCGGUAACGGAUGGGCGUGCGGYUGAUUAGGUAGUUGGCGGGGUAACGGCCCACCAAGCCUACGAUCARUAGCUGAUGUGAGAGCAUGAUCAGCCACACGGGCACUGAGACACGGGCCCGACUCCUACGGGAGGCAGCAGUAAGGAAUAUUGGKCAAUGGACGAAAGUCUGAMCCAGCCAUGCCGCGUGRAGGAUKAAGGUCCUCUGGAUUGUAAACUUCUUUUCUCUGGGGCGAAAAMAGCCUWUUCUWRGSYAYUUGACAGUACCAGAGGAAUAAGCACCGGCUAACUCCGUGCCAGCAGCCGCGGUAAUACGGAGGGUGCAAGCGUUAUCCGGAUUCACUGGGUUUAAAGGGUGCGUAGGYGGGYMKGUAAGUCAGUGGUGAAAUCCCCCGRGCUUAACUUGGGAACUGCCGUUGAUACUAUMKRUCUUGAAUAUCGUGGAGGUGAGCGGAAUAUGUCAUGUAGCGGUGAAAUGCUUAGAUAUGACAUAGAACACCAAUUGCGAAGGCAGCUUACUACACGAUCAUUGACACUGAGGCACGAAAGCGUG